Long non-coding RNA from Macrobrachium nipponense, 674 nucleotides. RefSeq lists it as uncharacterized. The record is from RefSeq and is a predicted model, not a curated record. The transcript is spliced from 4 exons. Lineage: Eukaryota; Metazoa; Arthropoda; Malacostraca; Decapoda; Palaemonidae.
AGGAGGUGACCAGAGGCGUCCAUGAUGACGAUGUGAGUGACCAUCAGACGAUCAGUCGACGUGACCCGACAAGGCGGUGUAUUCGCGUUCUCCGAGGCGGUUCCGCACGCGCUGCGUAGUAUUUUUGGAAAGUGUGACUUAUUCUAGCGUUUUAUCUCCGUGCAAAUAUUUGUUUAGCGGUUCGUCGCGUCUAAACGUUUGAGACUUCGAUGAUAAUAUAGCUAUGGCGGGAAAUGGGGCCGGCGUGCUGGCCUUAGUAGUAAGAGGCCUAACUUUCUCAUCCCUUUUACCGGUUUUCGAUUUCGUAGCGCCAAGAGGACAAGCCUACGAGGAUAAGCUUGAACGGGGUCGUCCUUCACGUCACAAAGUAUGAUUCAGAUUCAGAUUACGUAUAUACAGAGCCCACCUUCUGCUGAGGGGCAGUUACCCAGGCAUUAUCGCCUAUCACCACGACGGGAGCAGUGAGCCGUAGACCAUAAACACAGUCAUUGCUACAGGUGUAACAUCCUCACCUUUAAGAUCAGGCCCAAGGAAAACGAAGAAUUUUUAUCUGUAGCCCAUAUCGUUGACAACGCUAGCUGCCUAUGGGUUAAAGCUCACCAAUCAGAGGCCACAAAUACGAUUGCAUCAGCCAAUCAGAAACAAGAUGAGAGCCUUCAAUAUCGGCAGCGGAU